AACGAACGCUGGCGGCAUGCCUAACACAUGCAAGUCGAACGAUGGUCUUCGGAUCAUAGUGGCGCACGGGUGCGUAACGCGUGGGAAUCUGCCCUUGGGUUCGGAAUAACAGUUGGAAACGACUGCUAAUACCGGAUGAUGUCGAUAAGACCAAAGAUUUAUCGCCCGAGGAUGAGCCCGCGUCGGAUUAGCUAGUUGGUGGGGUAAAGGCCUACCAAGGCGACGAUCCGUAGCUGGUCUGAGAGGAUGAUCAGCCACACUGGGACUGAGAUACGGCCCAGACUCCUACGGGAGGCAGCAGUGGGGAAUAUUGGACAAUGGGCGCAAGCCUGAUCCAGCAAUGCCGCGUGAGUGAUGAAGGCCUUAGGGUUGUAAAGCUCUUUUACCCGGGAAGAUAAUGACUGUACCGGGAGAAUAAGCCCCGGCUAACUCCGUG
RNAcentral lists this ribosomal RNA (436 nucleotides) under uncultured bacterium. RNAcentral's name for it is "partial 16S ribosomal RNA". It matches the Rfam family "Bacterial small subunit ribosomal RNA", at positions 29 to 507 of the family's 1533-position model. The record is from RNAcentral.